GGCAAGUCAAACUCUUUUGCCUCUUCUAAGAUGAACCAUUACAGGUAGGAGGAGAAUAUUGCUAAAUAUAGUACUAAACCUGGAUGCUGCUUUUGAGUUUGUUUCUACUCACAAGCUUAUUUUUUGCCUUGGAAACCUAAAGCUCCUGAGCGAUCAGAGUUUCAGCUUCUGUGCUGUUUCCAUUCCAUCUCCUUACUACCUUGCCUCCAAGACUAUCUUUUCGCACGAUCUUCCUUCAGAGGAUCCGUGUAUACUGGAGAGUUCCUGUCCUGAGGUAGGACACAGAAGUAGAGAAAACUACCCUACAGCUAGGGCGCUUCAAUUCUGCAGUGGUGUCAUAUGAUGGAAUAACUCCUGGAGCCAUGAGCAGGAACUGUCAGCUGAAGUACCAUUGCAGGGGUUGUUACCUGAAAGGAACCAUCCUCCAUGCAGCAGCUGUGGAUGCAGGGUAGGAAACACACUACCUUGUUUGCACCACUGGAAUAUGAACACGUCUCAAACUCAUUUACAUUUUCCUGUAAACCCAAUACUUUGGGGAAGACACCCUGGGGAAGACAGCCUGCAGUUCCCAUGUAAGAAGAAAUUGCUAUUUCAUCAUAAAUAUGUGAAAACAGGACAACUAAGCCACCUUAACAGGAUAUAUUACAGACAACAUCUUCUUUCAAGAAGUAGGUGUGUUAUACUGAAGAUUCUGCAUUUACAAUCUAUACAGCAAUCAUACACUAAUGGAAUAUAGAAGGGAAGUGUUUGGAUGUGUGUAAUUGUAUCUACUGAUUUCAUAUUUGAUCCUGAGGAAGCACUUUGGUGCUUGUAAACAGAGCUAAAUUCUUUGGAGGAGAAAGGACUGUGACCAAAUCCUAGCACAAAGCACAAGAGCUCAGGAAGGGGGAAGACACAGGAGUGAAGUUCGUCUAUGUGGCAAAAGGUAUUUUCUCUGAAACCUCUGCAGCUGGCACAUGAGAAAGAAAGAAUCUCUCUCUAUAUAUAUAUCACUCUAUCCUAGAAUCAUUCUCUGAAGGAAAACAGAAAUCAUUCUGGGGAGUGUUUGGGUAACUGUGAGUAAACUUGAUUCAAAGCUUGAAAUGAUUCCUUCUAGCUUCAGAGGACAGAGUUGGCUUUAUUUGCUGAAGCCAGAUCCUGUAAAUCUUAAUAGCCAGCGAUUCUUUAUAUGACCAAACUUUUGCAAGGGUUGAGACCUACUAUCAUAAUUAAAACUGGCAACUUUGAAAUUUUGGUAAACUAUGGACCUGCCUCUCAACCUGUCCCUGGCAUGGACUGAGAUGCCAUCUGUGGCCCUGCAACAUAACUUUAUUGGGAAAGGUAACAUUCUAGUGAAUUACCGAAAGUCUCAGGUCUAAAGCUGAAAUCAACAGAUAUGACUUCACUGAACUUUAGAAACAGCUACAGUCUAAGGUGUUUUGAGCUCAGCUUCAAAGCUGUGCCAUGAUAGCCCUGGUGAGCCCUAAACAGAAGAAGGGCUAUUUUCCCUGAGCCAUGGAAAUUCCCCUCCCAUUCCUCUUGCUUGUAAUUGUCGCACCAGCAAAGCUGGUUCUUUUGGCCUGGUUUAUUUCCCCUGGAAAGUUUUUCUAAUAUACUGAUACAAAAAUGCCUUAAGAACAACUGUACCUUGUUAGACCAAGGGUACUUCCAACUCAACAUCUUCUCUUCAGCAGUAACCGAGAGCAAGUAUAAACUGCCACUACCCUAGAGCGCUUCUCUUCCUUUCCUAGCCUUUA
This is a long non-coding RNA of Struthio camelus australis, 1736 nucleotides long. NCBI's taxonomy places the organism in Eukaryota, Metazoa, Chordata, Aves, Struthioniformes, Struthionidae. The record is from Ensembl.